AAUAAGAUGCCUGAUUAAAGGAUUAUUUUGAUAGAAUAAAUCAAGUAUUAAUAACAAAUACUCUUAUUA
Molecule: transfer RNA, 69 nt
Filed under: Poecilocoris druraei
Lineage: Eukaryota; Metazoa; Arthropoda; Insecta; Hemiptera; Scutelleridae
Description: tRNA-Ile
Source: RNAcentral